This 1215-nucleotide ribosomal RNA is filed under the name metagenome. RNAcentral's name for it is "bacterial LSU rRNA". It matches the Rfam family "Bacterial large subunit ribosomal RNA", at positions 1730 to 2925 of the family's 2925-position model. The record is from RNAcentral.
UUAACUUCGGGAGAAGGAGGACCCCAGUAGCGUGAUGAGACUUGCUCUCUGAGCGUGAAGGGGUGGCACAAAAUUGAGGGAAGCGACUGUUUACCAAAAACACAGCAGCGUGCUAAGCCGUAAGGCGCUGUAUACGCUGUGACUCCUGCCCGGUGCUGGAAGGUUACGGGGAUGGGUUAGUCCUUCGGGACGAAGCUCUGAACCUAAGCCCCAGUAAACGGCGGCCGUAACUAUAACGGUCCUAAGGUAGCGAAAUUCCUUGUCGGGUAAGUUCCGACCUGCACGAAUGGAGUAACGACUUCCCUACUGUCUUAACCAUAGACCCAGCGAAAUUGAAGUACGAGUAAAGAUGCUCGUUAGCUGCAGAAGGACGGAAAGACCCCGUGGACCUUUACUAUAACUUGAUGUUGUGUCUUGUCAUAUGUUGUGUAGGAUAGGUGGGAGACUUGGAAGCAUGGACGCUAGUCUGUGUGGAGUCAUCGUUGAAAUACCACCCUGCAUAUGGUGAGGCUCUAACCUAGACCCGUUAUCCGGGUUGGGGACAGCGUCAGGCGGGUAGUUUAACUGGGGCGGUUGCCUCCUAAAGAGUAACGGAGGCGCCCAAAGGUUCCCUCAGCCUGGUUGGCAAUCAGGCGUUGAGUGCAAUGGCAAAAGGGAGCUUGACUGCGAGACCUACAAGUCGAGCAGGAGCGAAAGCUGGGCAUAGUGAUCCGGCGGUUGCGUGUGGAAGCGCCGUCGCUCAACGGAUAAAAGGUACCCCGGGGAUAACAGGCUAAUCUUGCCCAAGCGUCCAUAGCGACGGCAAGGUUUGGCACCUCGAUGUCGGCUCAUCGCAUCCUGGGGCUGAAGCAGGUCCCAAGGGUUGGGCUGUUCGCCCAUUAAAGCGGUACGCGAGCUGGGUUCAGAACGUCGUGAGACAGUUCGGUCCCUAUCCUCUGCAGCCGGAGGUGAAUUGAGGAAAGCUGUCCCUAGUACGAGAGGACCGGGACGGACGCAGCUCUCGUGUGCCAGUUGUCCUGCCAAGGGCAUGGCUGGUUAGCGACCUGCGGAAAGGAUAACCGCUGAAAGCAUCUAAGCGGGAAGCCUCUUCCAAGAUGAAUUCACCCACAGGGUUAACCUGGUAAGGCCCGUGGUAGACCACCACGUUGAUAGGCCGGAAGUGUAAGCGUGGCAACACGUUCAGCUGACCGGUACUAAUCGGCCGAGGGCUUGACU